UUCCGUUUAUUUCCUCACAUACCAGCCAAGCUUCUCAGUCAGGCAGACACAAUAGAUGGAAUGGCAAGGGAAGUGAAGAGUGGAGGCUGCAUCCCUUCAGCCGCCAGCUGAUGUUCUGCUUAUUUCGCAUACCGGAACUCCCAGGCGUCCUCAAACCACAAUCACAGUUGUUGGUUCCAGAAACAUCUUCUUUGGAAAAACAUGUGACAUCAGUUUCCUCAGAGUCUUCCGGACAAUCCAGUCACACAGAACUGACAAAACCUUGUCAGGUGAGAAGAUAAGGAUCUUCUUCAAUACAGAAUAUGUCAACAUCUCCUUCUGAAUAGUUCCGUUUAUUUGCUCACAUACCAGCCAAGCUUCUCAGUCAGCAGGCACAAUAGACUGAAUAGGAAGGGAAGUGAAGAGUGAAGUCUGGAUCCGUUUAGCCUCCAGCUGAUGUUCUGCUUAUUUCCUGUACUGGAACUCUCAGAAGUCCUCAAACCACAAUCACAGUUGUUGGUUCCAGAAACAUCUUCUUUGGAAAAACAUGUGACAUCAGUUUCCUCAGAGUCUCCCGGACAAUCCAGUCACGCAGAACUGACAAAACCUUGUCCAGUAAGAAGGUAAGAAUCUUCUUCAAUAGAGAAUACGUCAACGUCUCCGUGAACGAAGAGAUCUGCUGGUUCCAAGGACUUGUCGUGGAUUUCUGUCCUAGAUACUUUCUUCCGUAAUUCAAGAUAAAGAAAAUUACAAUCUCUGCUGUCCAUUCCAUCGCUUUUCCCUUCAGAAUCAUAAUCAGAGAAUCCUUGCAGAACGUCGUGAGUGUGCUCUCAGCUGCAAUCACCAGAAGGACUCUUCACACUCGGUGGCUCACCAGGAGAAAGGCAUAGCAGAACCUGGACUGAGACCUACGGGAGACAGGCAGACACACAGGAGGUUGGACGUCGAGAGGAGCACAUCAGUGCAAGAACACAUGGGUGGCUGCCACUUCUCUCCCUUUCCUGAGAGGGAAAAACUCUCGACGCUGAGAGGAAUCCACCAACAGGCACCAGCACUCUGGCAGGCCACCGACCAAUGGAUUGACAUAGAGUUUGGCUGGGGCAGCCAGAGGAGAGCCUGGGCCGCUGAAUAACCCGACUUCAGGGGAAAACUAUUCUCCCUUUUGGCUCCCCCAUCUGCUGAGAGCUACUUCCACUCAAUAAAACCUUGC
This 1189-nucleotide long non-coding RNA is filed under the name Homo sapiens (human). Its description in RNAcentral is "HSALNT0397998". Lineage: Eukaryota; Metazoa; Chordata; Mammalia; Primates; Hominidae. The record is from RNAcentral.